Molecule: long non-coding RNA, 521 nt
Organism: Oryzias melastigma (Indian medaka)
Lineage: Eukaryota; Metazoa; Chordata; Actinopteri; Beloniformes; Adrianichthyidae
Exons: 3
Source: RefSeq, a predicted model, not a curated record
AUGACGGACAGUGGAAUAAACCAGUACCCUCUUGUGAAGGCCUUCCUUGUGAUGUUCCACAACUAGGUCCAAGUCCGGGAGUCUCUCCGAUCACCUUAAGAGUGAAAUCAGGAGGAAAAUUAAAUGUAUUCUGCAACUCUGAGUAUGAACUUGAAGGAGAAAAUGAAAUUGAAUGUUUAGACACAGGACUUUGGAGUUCAACCUUCCCAACAUGCACAAAAACUUGUGAGAUGCCUGAUAUACCAACAAUCCUACGCCUGAUGACAAAUGUAGAGAGAAGAAGAGCUAAGAAGGGACAAAAAUUAAAGUUUGAAUGCAGCCAACGAGGAAAAUUCAUUCAAGGAAAUGCAGAGAUUGAAUGUUUGGAAAGUGGAGAGUGGAGUGAUCAGCUUCCCAGAUGUGGAGGUAAAUGAUUUUUUUCUGUGCACUUUCAUGUGUUUGAGUAGAUUAUUUUUUUUUUUAUUAAAGAGCUCAUUGUCUACUACAAGCUUUAACAGAUGAUGAAUUGCCAGAAAGGUGGA